Molecule: ribosomal RNA, 597 nt
Filed under: uncultured marine eukaryote
Lineage: Eukaryota
Description: SSU rRNA
Rfam family: Eukaryotic small subunit ribosomal RNA
Source: RNAcentral
GGUUAAAAAGCUCGUAGUUGGAUUCCUGUAUGGAAGGGGCGUCCCCACCCUUUGGAUGGGGGUUGCUACCUUCUUUGCGUCUUCCGGAGUAGGUGUUCCUCACUUAACUGUGAGGACAUCGUGCUCGGGUCAUUUACUUUGAGGAAAAGAGAGUGCUCCAAGCAGGCAAACGCCUGAAUACGUUAGCAUGGAAUAAUAGCAUCGGAUCAUCGUUCAGCUGUUGGUGUCUGAUCGAUGGUAAAGGUGAACAGGGAUUGUUGGGGGCAUUCGUAUUUAACUGUCAGAGGUGAAAUUCUUGGAUUUGUUGAAGACGAGCUACUGCGAAAGCAUUUGCCAAAGAUGUUCUCAUUGAUCAAGAACGAAAGUUAGGUGAUCGAAGACGAUCAGAUACCGUCCUAGUCUUAACCAUAAACUAUGCCAACUGGAGAUAGGACGUGUUUAUUUUACGACUCUUCCUGCAUCUUGAGAGAAAUCAAAGUCUUUGGGUUCCGGGGGGAGUAUGGUCGCAAGGCUGAAACUUAAAGGAAUUGACGGAAGGGCACCACCAGGAGUGGAGCCUGCGGCUUAAUUUGACUCAACACGGGGGAAACUUACCAG